Long non-coding RNA from Astyanax mexicanus (Mexican tetra), 373 nucleotides. RefSeq lists it as uncharacterized. NCBI's taxonomy places the organism in Eukaryota, Metazoa, Chordata, Actinopteri, Characiformes, Acestrorhamphidae. The record is from RefSeq and is a predicted model, not a curated record. The transcript is spliced from 4 exons.
GGCUAAGGUGUAACAGUUGGUAGAGAUGUUGUAGAUGUUACAGUAGUAGAUGUGAGUGUUUGGAGAGGUUGGUAGAGAUGUUGUAGAUGUUACAGUAGUAGAUGUGAGUGUUUGGAGAGGUUGGUAGAGAUGGUGUAGAUGUUACAGUAGUAGAUGUGAGUGUUUGGAGAGGUUGGUAGAGAUGGUGUAGAUGUUACAGUAGUAGAUGUGAGUGUUUGGAGAGGUUGGUAGAGAUGGUGUAGAUGUUACAGUAGUAGAUGUGAGUGUUUGGAGAGGUUGGUAGAGAUGGUGUAGAUGUUACAGUAGUAGAUGUGAGUGUUUGGAGAGGAUGGUAGAGAUGGUGUAGAUGUUACAGUAGUAGAUGUGAGUGUUU